Molecule: ribosomal RNA, 245 nt
Filed under: uncultured bacterium
Lineage: Bacteria
Description: partial 16S ribosomal RNA
Rfam family: Bacterial small subunit ribosomal RNA
Source: RNAcentral
GCGUGAGUAACCUGCCUUUCUANAGGGGGAGUAACAUCCUGAAAAGGAAUGCUAAUACCGCAUAACAUCUUAGUAUCGCAUGGUAUUGAGAUCAAAGGAAGCAAUCCGCUGAGAGAUGGACUCGCGUCCGAUUAGCUAGUUGGCGGGGUAAAGGCCCACCAAGCGACGAUCGGUAGCCGGACUGAGAGGUUGAACGGCCACAUUGGGACUGAGACACGGCCCAGACUCCUACGGGAGGCAGCAUG